RNAcentral lists this ribosomal RNA (253 nucleotides) under uncultured bacterium. RNAcentral's name for it is "partial 16S ribosomal RNA". It matches the Rfam family "Bacterial small subunit ribosomal RNA", at positions 524 to 776 of the family's 1533-position model. The record is from RNAcentral.
UACAGAGGUGGCAAGCGUUGUUCGGAAUUACUGGGCGUAAAGGGCGCGUAGGCGGCCUGAUAAGUAGGGGGUGAAAUCCUGCGGCUUAACCGCAGGGCUGCCUUCUAAACUGUCAGGCUGGAGCACAGUAGAGGCAGGUGGAAUUCCCGGUGUAGCGGUGGAAUGCGUAGAGAUCGGGAAGAACAUCAGUGGCGGAGGCGGCCUGCUGGGCUGUUGCUGACGCUGAGGCGCGACAGCGUGGGGAGCAAACAGG